This 475-nucleotide ribosomal RNA is filed under the name uncultured bacterium. RNAcentral's name for it is "partial 16S ribosomal RNA". It matches the Rfam family "Bacterial small subunit ribosomal RNA", at positions 28 to 507 of the family's 1533-position model. The record is from RNAcentral.
GAUGAACGCUGGCGGCGUGCUUAACACAUGCAAGUCGAACGAUGAACCUCACUUGUGGGGGGAUUAGUGGCGAACGGGUGAGUAACACGUGAGUAACCUGCCCUUGACUCUGGGAUAAGCCUGGGAAACCGGGUCUAAUACUGGAUACGACCUUCUGGCGCAUGCCAUGUUGGUGGAAAGCUUUUGUGGUUUUGGAUGGACUCGCGGCCUAUCAGCUUGUUGGUGGGGUAAUGGCCUACCAAGGCGACGACGGGUAGCCGGCCUGAGAGGGUGACCGGCCACACUGGGACUGAGACACGGCCCAGACGCCUACGGGAGGCAGCAGUGGGGAAUAUUGCACAAUGGGCGCAAGCCUGAUGCAGCGACGCCGCGUGAGGGAUGAAGGCCUUCGGGGUGUAAACCUCUUUCAGUAGGGAAGAAGCCGGCUUUUGGGUUGGUGACGGUACCUGCAGAAGAAGCGCCGGCUAACUACGUG